RNAcentral lists this ribosomal RNA (1333 nucleotides) under uncultured bacterium. Its description in RNAcentral is "bacterial SSU rRNA". It matches the Rfam family "Bacterial small subunit ribosomal RNA", at positions 27 to 1381 of the family's 1533-position model. The record is from RNAcentral.
GGACGAACGCUGGCGGCGCGCCUAACACAUGCAAGUCGAACGAGCGAGAGAGAGCUUGCUUUCUCGAGCAAGUGGCGAACGGGUGAGUAACGCGUGAGGAACCUGCCUCAAAGAGGGGGACAACAGUUGGAAACGACUGCUAAUACCGCAUAAGCCCACGGGUCGGCAUCGACCAGAGGGAAAAGGAGCAAUCCGCUUUGAGAUGGCCUCGCGUCCGAUUAGCUAGUUGGUGAGGUAAUGGCCCACCAAGGCGACGAUCGGUAGCCGGACUGAGAGGUUGAACGGCCACAUUGGGACUGAGACACGGCCCAGACUCCUACGGGAGGCAGCAGUGGGGAAUAUUGCACAAUGGGGGAAACCCUGAUGCAGCGACGCCGCGUGGAGGAAGAAGGUCUUCGGAUUGUAAACUCCUGUUGUUGGGGAAGAUAAUGACGGUACCCAACAAGGAAGUGACGGCUAACUACGUGCCAGCAGCCGCGGUAAAACGUAGGUCACAAGCGUUGUCCGGAAUUACUGGGUGUAAAGGGAGCGCAGGCGGGAAGACAAGUUGGAAGUGAAAUCCAUGGGCUCAACCCAUGAACUGCUUUCAAAACUGUUUUUCUUGAGUAGUGCAGAGGUAGGCGGAAUUCCCGGUGUAGCGGUGGAAUGCGUAGAUAUCGGGAGGAACACCAGUGGCGAAGGCGGCCUACUGGGCACCAACUGACGCUGAGGCUCGAAAGUGUGGGUAGCAAACAGGAUUAGAUACCCUGGUAGUCCACACCGUAAACGAUGAUUACUAGGUGUUGGAGGAUUGACCCCUUCAGUGCCGCAGUUAACACAAUAAGUAAUCCACCUGGGGAGUACGACCGCAAGGUUGAAACUCAAAGGAAUUGACGGGGGCCCGCACAAGCAGUGGAGUAUGUGGUUUAAUUCGACGCAACGCGAAGAACCUUACCAAGUCUUGACAUCCGUUGACCGCUGUAGAAAUACAGUUUUCCUUCGGGACAGCGAGACAGGUGAUGCAUGGUUGUCGUCAGCUCGUGUCGUGAGAUGUUGGGUUAAGUCCCGCAACGAGCGCAACCCUUAUGGUCAGUUACUACGCAAGAGGACUCUGGCCAGACUGCCGUUGACAAAACGGAGGAAGGUGGGGAUGACGUCAAAUCAUCAUGCCCUUUAUGACUUGGGCUACACACGUACUACAAUGGCGUUAAACAAAGAGAAGCAAGACCGCGAGGUGGAGCAAAACUCAGAAACAACGUCCCAGUUCGGACUGCAGGCUGCAACUCGCCUGCACGAAGUCGGAAUUGCUAGUAAUCGUGGAUCAGCAUGCCACGGUGAAUACGUUCCCGGGCCU